This 24-nucleotide non-coding RNA is filed under the name Arabidopsis thaliana (thale cress). Lineage: Eukaryota; Viridiplantae; Streptophyta; Magnoliopsida; Brassicales; Brassicaceae. The record is from RNAcentral.
CUCAAGCCAUACCGUGAAGGUGUU